This 4576-nucleotide long non-coding RNA is filed under the name Citrus x clementina. RNAcentral describes it as "Citrus clementina (C. clementina) long non-coding RNA (CCLE_LNC002980)". Lineage: Eukaryota; Viridiplantae; Streptophyta; Magnoliopsida; Sapindales; Rutaceae. The record is from RNAcentral.
GAUAGAAUCAUAAAUAUUACACCAUAACCACUGCUAACAGAUCCCAAACAUCAAAACAUCAAAAACUUUUCACUUUGACAGUACUGAAGUUGCAUCAUAAACAAUAGCAAAAUAAUUCAUCAUCAACUUCAUGGUUAGUUAAGAUUACCACCAAUAAACAAGUAGGAACCAAUCAACAAAGUAUGAAGUUAUCGGGAAAAUGAUGACAGUAGAGAAAGGUAUUGGAAAAGCAUAAAUAAUUGAUUUUCGUAGCAUCAGCUAUCACGGCUCUGACAUUCACAUUUCACAGAAUAACAUUGUUUCAUAAUUGACUUAACAUAGGUUCAUGCUUUUAUUGUUUUAGAAUUGACUUAACAUAGGUUCUUGCUUCGAUAUUUAGACUUCGAAUAAGAACACUAACAUUUCCAUUAAGACAAGCAGAAUGAUAGUGCUUUUAAUUAACAUGUACUGAAACCUUUGCAUAUAAAAUAUUCAAAGGAGCAUGUGUCAACUGCACAUACCAGCAGACUGUCAAGUUGAGAGAAAGUCGUAUCCCAAAUUAACCAAACCAUUGAAACUGAAAGAAUAAGCAAAAAGACAAGACUUGCAAAUUCAUUUGCAAUUCUGCAUGCCAAACAACUUAAAAAGACACAGAGGAAGCACUCACUUGCACUAGAGGUCUAGGACAUGGUCUCCCAUUGCCAUCCAUUUGUCGUUUGAGAUUAAGCUGUAAUUUCCCAACUUUCCAAGCUGAUAUGGUAUGCGUCUCUAAUUCUUCCUCCGUUAAAUUUGAUCCAUUAGUCCCCAACUGAAUAUUAACAGGCUAUACUCAUUAUGCAAACUCAAUGAGGGUAACAUGCGCAAAAAGAAAAACAUCUCCAAUGUGAUUUAUGAAGACAAGCACAAUGCAUGUUCACUUUGUGAUUUGUGUGAAUUUCUAGAUUGUGCAUGGAGGUGUCUGUACAUGCAUCAGCGUGUGUGAAAAAUUAGAAAACAAAAACAUGGAGAAGCAAACGUUCUGGAGACCAUGAACAAAAAAGAACAUAAAAGGCGAAUACAUAUUUUUCUCUAAAAGAAAUUUGGCAAGGCUGAUUGGCCACGAAAACCCAACUGAAAACUGUGGUGCCAAUGGAACCCAUGGACCAUGGAUAGUUGGAUAUACUAUCUUACACACAGAACCCUGUCAAAACUCAUAAUGCCAAAAUGACAACCAGUGGUUGGGGAAGAGCACAACCAAGUGAAACUUAGAAGGUUUUAAGGUUUUUUCAAGCAUGUGUCACUCUUAAAAUGGUUUUACGACCACUUUCUCAUUUUUGAACUUGAGGCAGACUCCCCACUGCCUGCACCAACAAGUUGGAAAGAGGCAGAGAAAAGCAUUUUUCUACUAAGAAACUUCAUUGCUGGCUAGGUUGCUUAUGGCUAAUGAAAUUCUGUCUACAUAGCAUAUCCUGACACCUUUCAACAGAUGCAAAAUUGUUGUCCCUGGUUAUCUGAAAAUUUGGUUAUAAUAAAAUCCUCACAAUGUUUCCAUUCUGAAUCAUUUUUCCUUUUGAAUCAUAAAUUAAAGCUAUCCUUGUAAUGCAGCAACCUUAUAAUUUGGAAGAAAGUCGAAAAGUUUAUUCCAGACACACCUCUCUCAGAAUCAGGAUGAAGUCCAAUGCACUAAGAACCCCAACAAAACGGCCCUUGAAGUCAUCCCAAAGAGGGACCAUCGGAAGUCCCUGCAACACAUAAAUCACAAGCUGACGAUAAGAAUUAACACGAACCCUGUCUUCUUAGACAAACCGAACAGAUUAUUACCCAAAAAAAAGUUCCAGUUAGAAAAAGGAAAUGAGGCACUUGCAUACAAACUUAUAAAUUCUCUCCUCAUAAGUGUGGAACAGCUGGGUGUGAACAAGCAUGUGGCAAUAAAAGAGAUUCACCUGCUCAUAGAGAACAUGAAAUGCUUGCUUCACAGCUAAAUUGACAUCCAAGGCAGUGACCUGCAACAUUACAUGAGUGAUCCUCACCAAAAGUCUAAAAGAACAUAAAUGUUCAAACCCAAAAAUGUAUUGUAUUGGCAGCUCAUAUAGAAGGGAAAGCAUUCAAACCUUGCCUGAGUCAGGAAGGAGCUCGUAUACUGUAUGUGUGGACAAGAAUGAAGAUAUACGAUCACGAGAAAGCUGUAAAUCAGCCUCUGAGUAUUGUGCAAAACCUUCCUGCAAGUACCACUUGACAAUGUGACCUAUUUGUAUCCAGCAGGAUAAUGGAGGGGCACGAUGAUAAUAAAACUUCUACAAAACUCUAUAUUCCCUAGUGUUGUAAGCCUUUCCAAUUAGUGCAAAUUAAUACCGAAAAAAAAGGCCACUUCCAAAAGCUUAAAUAUGAGCUUAACAUUUAAAAACUUAGCAGCUAAAUAUCAUCUCCAGGGCUCUCAAUUCUUCAAGUAUCUUACAAAAGUUCGAUCCAGGUAGUCUUCUCUGAAUGUGGUCUUAACAUUUAUCAUACGGCACCAAGCAGUCUCUCUUAAGACAAACAUGAGCACCUAGAAUUGGCAACUCACAAAGUUCAAUAUUAAAUACGAAAAGUGUUCCCUCUGUCUUCAUAUAUGCACAUCUAUCCUACAUUUAGAUAUUUUAAAAUGUCUGGGUCAUAUCCCUUCAGCAAAGCCUAUCAUAUUUAUCCAAAAAUCCUACAGAAACGGAAACUUAAUCAGCUAGCUUACUGAAGAUAGAAGACCCCAUGCUUAAAAAAGAAACACAUGGUACCACGAGUUAGUGAGGAUAAGAUGUCAAGAACUAUGGGUUUGAUGACAAGCCAGCAAUUAAGUUAUUCAUUAGGUGAGAGAGACCCUUACCGGACGCAUAACAACAUCAUCUACCUCCAUGUUACCAGAAGUCUCAGGGCUGAUGGUGUUAGGAACCAUAUCUGGUUGUGGCACAGCUAUAUAUACACAAUUCACUACACCAUAAUUCCCGCUCACAUGGGGCUGGUUCUCAUCAUGCCGCCAUUCUCCAUCAACAUAGAACUUGUACUACAUGGAAAGGGACGUAAGCAUCUAAACAUCAGUAACAAAGUCCAAACAGACUUUUACCAUGAACCUUAAUAUGAUAGGUUUUAGAGAACAAUCUAAAACUACACAAUGAACAUUUAUGGAAUGCAUAUUGACAUGCUAUAAUCACAAAACAAAGAAAAAGAAAUGGAAACCAAAAAUAAAGGUGAAUAAUACUAUAGUUCAGCAUACAACCAUAAGAGUCAAUUAACCUGGUGAUGCCCAGGUGGCAACCUGCAAAUGAUUUGAAAAACAGCAGGACAUCCUUCAGAUGGGGACAUAGGCAUAGGCUCUGACCACCUGUGCAUGCAUUAACAUUUUAAUCAGAACCCAUACCACAUACCCAUUUGUAUGAUUCAAAUCCCACAAACUAAAGAAAAACACCAAAUUUGAACUUCCCAAUAACUAAACAGCUAAUGACAAAUUCAAAACGAUCAAGGAUUCAUAUUUGGGCCUUCAUUCACUUACCUGGUGAACGAGCCACUGAGUGAAACUCUCCUCCCCCCAUUAGGCCAAAUAAACCGGACCGGAACCAAGAUUGAACCCACUACCCCACUGUUUUCGUGACCAGUAUUCAGACCAGAAUUAUACAUUUCCUUCCAAAGUUAUAUAAAUACUUAUGCACACAAAUUCUAGUACCAAAUCACCAAAUGAAAAUUUCAAAGCCACCCUACUUGAUUUUCUUCUACAUAAAUACUAACCAAUUAUAGUACUCCUUCAGCUCAUCCUCCAAACAAAAUAAAAUUUGGCUGCUUUUGUGCCUUUUUUUAUUUUGGGAUAAAAAACUAUGCAAGCAGGGAUCCUCUACAGGUGAGCAGAGGACCCCUCAACGUUUACACAUGCAGAGUCACCUAAUCAAAAAAAUCCAAAAUUAUCAAGAACCAAGGGAAAAAAAUAAAUAAAUCUCUUAUGACAAGCUUAAAUUGAGCAGCAAAGCACUCAGCUUUGAUCCCAAAAUUGCAGAAUUCACCACAUGCAAUAUCAAAUAAAUCCACUAACACUCAAUCUCAGCCAAACCAAUCAACAACUCAACCCAAUAGUCAAACAAAUCAGACUGCCCGCCAAAACCCCCAAAUAGAAUCCUUACAACUCGUAAAUCACACACAAUUCGUGCUCUGAUCUGUCCCAGAAAGAGAUAUUUACACCACUUCUCAACUGAAUCGAAUAUUGAAUACCUAAAAUUCAACUAAAUUCGGGGUUGACAAACCACAAGGGGUGAAAAUUUGUGCCCUAAUUUGACAAAAAAGAAAACAAAAGUAAAAACCCUAAAUUUAAUUGACAGAGAGAAAGGGGUUAGAUGAAAUUGGGGCAAUGUUAGUUGGAUCUUAAAAGAUUUUAAAGAACCCUAAGAAUGAAAAACGAAAAGGGAAAGAGAAGAGAACAGAACGCGAGGCAAAAGUUAGUAAGAAAAUAAAAAGCAAAUAAUGGUAACAACAAUAACUGGGAUUAGCAGUAAAAUUUUGGCUGGUGAAAUUGUGAUGUAUACGUACUGUAUUAUUUGUACCGUACGUAUUGAUUGGCUACUUUUGAUUUUAAGAGUAUAUAUAAAUUGAAAAAUGAAAUACU